UGGAAGAUUGAUACUUUUUUA
RNAcentral lists this non-coding RNA (21 nucleotides) under Caenorhabditis elegans. Lineage: Eukaryota; Metazoa; Nematoda; Chromadorea; Rhabditida; Rhabditidae. The record is from RNAcentral.